Molecule: long non-coding RNA, 1313 nt
Filed under: Sus scrofa (pig)
Lineage: Eukaryota; Metazoa; Chordata; Mammalia; Artiodactyla; Suidae
Description: lncRNA (ENSSSCG00070017451.1)
Source: RNAcentral
GGCAGUAAAGGAGAGAAAAAGACAUUAGGAAAUUUGGUUUUAAGUGUUUAUGCUAAUUUAUUCAGCUCAGUCGAGUGUAGUCAACCCUGAACCCCAGGGACUGUCAGUGUGGGUGACAAUCGCGGGCAGAGACAGGCUGGGGAAAAGUUGUCACGUUGCUGUUCGCUGAGGCCAGAAGACAGCCACGCCAGCCUCGCAGAAGCAUCAUCUUGAGGACAGGGAGGAAGCUGGCAAAAUGUGUGUUCAAAUCCUCCCAGGGGACAAACCCACUCACCUUGACUGCAACUCAACCGUUCGACCUGAAUCCCGGGGUAACACGCCCUUGGAUCAAAUUGGCAAGAGAGAGACCAUCAGCCAGCUGCCCAGGGGGGACACGGGAGCCAUCACUGUACAGCAAAGUAAAAGAGGUGUCGUGGGGCCCCCGAGUUCAAGUCCCAGCUCCCUGCUUAGUGCUCGUGAGACCCUAUCCAAGUCAUUUAUCUCCUCAAAUCUUCCUCUCCAUCACCCGGGAAAACGAUGGAAAGAAUGGCACCGGCACCAUCAGACUGUCGUGAGGAUUAAGUGACAGUAAGUGUUGAUGUGUAAGCCUGCGUGAGAGCUUAAUAAGUGGAGUUGCUUCCAUGGGACUAUUUCCGACAGGCCCGGGGGGCCCUCCUCAACCAAUAGGGACCAUACUGUCUACACAGUCUAUGGGGUGACAUGGGGCUGACACUCUUGGAGCGGGAUUUCUGCAGCAUCCCCCGUGGAAUUGGGAGUGGCUUCCCGUGGAGGAGGAGAGCUGUGAGCCAAGCCUGGAAGGACGAGAGGAUUCUGACUGGUCAGAAUUCAGGAGAAGGUGUGGGCAGAAGGAAUGGGUGAGUAGAAGCCACAGAGGUGGGACUUGGCAAACGGCUGCUUUGGCAGGAGCAGGGGCCGUUCGUGGAGGAAGAAGGAAAUUAGGGUGCAGACAAAUUUGAGGCAGGGUCUCCCAAGAGGCAGAAACUCAGCAUUUUCUGGGCAAGACUGUGGGUGUGGAUGGGCAAGAGGACGUGCUCUGCCUUCAUCCUUUGCUGAAAGGGAGCACAGUGGUCCAGGUGGGAGAAAGAGAGAGGGUCUGGGCCAGGCAGUGACAUCAGGAAAGGAAGCACACCAGUGCAGGGCCCAGAAGGCUGGGUCCGGCCAGCCAUUGUCACCCAGCCAUGUCAGGACAGAUGGCUGCUUGGCAACAGAUGUGGGUUUGAGCACGGGCCAGGGCCCUGUCUGCUUCGGGGAGGUGUUUCCUUGUCCCUCGCAGCACCUAGCCUCCCACCUAGUCUCCCUGGGCCACAUCCCAC